This 854-nucleotide unclassified non-coding RNA is filed under the name Hevea brasiliensis (rubber tree). The record is from RNAcentral. Lineage: Eukaryota; Viridiplantae; Streptophyta; Magnoliopsida; Malpighiales; Euphorbiaceae.
CAAAAGUGAUGUUUUACGGGUUUCGAAUUCUUCUAACCUUGAGCUAACGACAAACAAAAUAGUUUAAUAUUUAAAAAAUAAGUUGGAGAGAGAGGGAAACAGAUUUGGGUCCAAAUCUGGGCGUUGUUCGGCUUGACCGGUUUUUGGACCCACCUGUUUUGGGUUUUUGACCAUUUCUUUUGUACCUGUCCUAGACUAAGUAAAUAAUUAAUACUAAAUAAAUACAGUAAAGUAAAAGACGACAAGGGCUUAUGCCCGAAAAUAAAUACAGCACGAAAUGAAAAAAAAAAUAAAACAGGUCUUCUAAUCUAUCUUCUCUGACUUUCUCCAAUUCUUUAAAUUUUGGGACCCGUCCAUCCGCUUAAUGGGUUGACUCGAAAAGAGAAACUUUGAGCCUUUACGGCUCUCACAUGGAAUGCAAAGGAGAGAGUGAGAGUUCACAUUGAGCUCGGACAAAUUUUACAUGCAACGAAGAGCAAAAUAAAAAUGAAUACUUGAAAAUAAUAUCUCUAAAUCAUAUCUUAAAGAUGAUUAAACGAUUCCUAAAUAACGAAUGUGUCUAAGCAAAUUACAACUUAACACCUUAAGCCAAAAUAAGUAAAUAAAUAAAUAGAUUGGAUAGGAGAAGGUAAUCGAUGCCAUUAAUUUUGUCCAAAGACGCACACAAUAGAUAAGCAGUAAUAUCCAAAAUAUGUAAUGAUCUUGGAAAUAAAUAUAAAAAUGAUGCAUGAGUAAAUUUAAAUAUUUAGACAAUUCAAGCUGGCAGAAAACUUUACAUACAAUAAACACAUAUAUGACAUAUAAAUCAUGGGAAAAUAUCCAAGUACCCUCUCAACCUAUGCCCGAAAUCUCAG